AGUCAACUCCACGGCAGUCCACGGUCAACUCUCAAGUCAAAAGAGUCGCGCUUGUCGUGCACGUGUUCGGACGUGUUUGUCCUGAAUAAAUUUUUGAAGAUUGCUGAUGCAAUCACAAUUUCCACUCAGACUUCGCUACGCGAUCAGUGAUUCAAGCUUUGUUAAACAAACAGUGGCAAAUCAGCGUAUUGUCCGCUGAAAAGCGGCAGGAGCCAAUAAAAAGUAAGAAGAAGAAGAAGAAGAACUCAAGUCAAAGGAUUCACGUCAAGGCUCGAGCCUCGAGGAAGGUUUUGAAAGACAAUGGAUUCUUGCUGGCGAUUUUGAUUCACAGUCCCGUUCUCAAUGAAUUCAGAUUAACCACGCAAUUAUUUCUGGGUGAAAUGCCACUUCUACUUCCUAUUCUCGUAAUUUAUCCAAGAGCGGUAGUAGUAUAUCAGGAUUUUCUUCCACGAUGUCCCUGUGCGAGGUAUUAGAACCACUUGAUUACGAGGAAUUCUUGGGACAGCAUCAGUCAGUGCUGGACCGUGAUCCUUUAAAACCAAUACCAGAUUUUCCACCGGGAGACGUCAAAUUGAGAGUCGUAAAGAGGAAGAUUCGAACAGAGGAGCCAGUAGUACCGCACGAAUCAAUUGAUACCGUGUCGCCUUAUGUGAAAAAAUGUUGAAAGUUUUACUUCAGACUGGGUCGUAAUACAUCGUAAAUACAAAGGUAGAAUCUCACUUAUCGCCAGAGACAGAUUGAUUCAGGAUACACUUAGACAAGAUUUUGAGGUAGAUCAAGAAGAUGCAAAUGGUUGUGUAUCACUGAACGAGGAGGAUGAUUUGUCCAAUUCCGGAGAUACUCCGAGAAGAUCUUGGGCAACUCUGGAUUUGCGGUAUUCGCAACAUGACUCUCUUCUGCCGAGUUUGUUAGAUCGUGUUUGCCUCGAAACGAUCGAUCAGAUGAACGAGCAGAAAAGAUUGGAGGAUCGACAGACGAGUCCGUAAGUCAACAACAGCGUGUAAAAAAAAGUAAUUGCUACUCUGAAAUGAUGUAUACAAAAUAGGCCAAGACAUGCCCAUUUUAUGAAGAAUUAGAUGAAAUUUUAGGCAAAAAGCCAUGCGUCAAGCCCGUUGCACUGGCCUCCAACAGGCGUCCCGUUCUGGAUAAAAUGUGCACGGAUGUAGACUGUAAAGAAGAACCUGAGAAAAAGAAGAAGAAAAGUAAAUCCGACGUUCUCGAUGAAAUUAGAGAGUGGAGGGUGGAGUCGAUGGAAUAUCGAAGAACCACUGAUGCCGAGAAGCAGAAACAGCGCGAGGAGCAACUUGAAAUUGCACGGAAGAGUAUCGAGUCUAUGGAUGCUCGCAUGGGUCAGUUAAUUGAUGUCUUGAAGAAAAAUUAAAGUUAUUCCUUCGGCUCUGGACGCAUAGUAUAUAACAAGUUCAAGUCCGUGGUAUCGUACGUGAUUGAUGAUCUACCAUUGUUCGAUAAGAAUGCAGUGGUUACUGUACCGAAGUUGUCGGUGUAUGAUUCACUUGACGAGGAAAUAAUAUAGAGUUAUCUGGAAUUCUCGCUCGCCUCGAUGAAGAAAGGCGCCUGCAGUGAGCAGUCCAGCCGUAUGACGGCCAUGGACAACGCCACCAAGAACGCCGGAGAAAUGAUCGACAAACUCACUCUCACGUUCAACCGCACUCAACGUAUAACGUUGUAACUUUAUAACGUUUGUAUUAUAUAUUAAGUACCAAAAUUGAAUUUCUAUCAGUUCGGAUAUCAGAAGCAUGUAACAACAUGAUCUUUUAAUCUAGUUAUAAAAGAUUACAGAUUCAUCAAUUUAGGAAGGUGUGGUAUCUCUUUCUUUUCUUACUUUUUAAUAUAAAAUAGUUGUUGUAGGUCAGACACAAUCUUGUGAUCGCGUAAUAAAAGGAAGAGAGAAAGGAAAAAGAUUCUAUAAUUGCAAUGUGUGUUUGCAGUACCGUAAGAAUUUUAAAGAUAAUUUAAAGUGUAUAAAAUGACGUGGCCUUUAGAGUACUAAAUAAGACGAUUACUUUUUAACUACAACCUUGUUUAUGUACUUCUAGCUUGUAUAUAGAACGAUAUUGCGUGAAUGAUGGAUGCAUUUUGUAAUCAAAUGCAGAAAUAUUUCGGUUUCUGCCAUGUCGCAUGACGUACGUAAUAAUACAAUUUUGCAAAAACGAUUUUCGAAGUUAGAGUUUCUUGUUGCUAGUUUGUAGUCUUAACACGUGUAAUAAUGAUUAUCGACUCGAGCGGUAUUUUUGAGUUGCACCGGACAUUUUGUAAAGGAGAAGUUUUUAAAAACCAUGAAAGCAACGCACAUACAAUUUUAAUUUCGUAAAUGCACAAUCCGAAUUUAUUAACGCUUACGAAUGAUUUAUUAAUGUUCAGCUCGAAAGUUUUGCUAAUUAGCGUUCUCAUUAUUAUGUAACAAACUGACAAAGAGAAAUAAAAUCUAUAUUUUUACAUAA
This is a long non-coding RNA of Temnothorax curvispinosus, 2462 nucleotides long. RefSeq lists it as uncharacterized. The transcript is spliced from 7 exons. The record is from RefSeq and is a predicted model, not a curated record. NCBI's taxonomy places the organism in Eukaryota, Metazoa, Arthropoda, Insecta, Hymenoptera, Formicidae.